This 253-nucleotide ribosomal RNA is filed under the name uncultured bacterium. RNAcentral describes it as "partial 16S ribosomal RNA". It matches the Rfam family "Bacterial small subunit ribosomal RNA", at positions 524 to 776 of the family's 1533-position model. The record is from RNAcentral.
GACGUAGGGCGCGAGCGUUGUCCGGAAUUAUUGGGCGUAAAGAGCUCGUAGGCGGCUUGUUGCGUCGUCCGUGAAAUCCCGUGGCUCAACUGCGGGCUUGCGGACGAUACGGGCAGGCUAGAGUUCGGUAGGGGAGACUGGAAUUCCUGGUGUAGCGGUGAAAUGCGCAGAUAUCAGGAGGAACACCGGUGGCGAAGGCGGGUCUCUGGGCCGAUACUGACGCCGAAGAGCGAAAGCGUGGGGAGCGAACAGG